GGCAUUGAGUGCACCCUCAGUCAAUUUGCAGAUGACACCAAGCAGUGGGAUUGAGUGCACCCUCAGCAAAUUUGCCAAAGACAGCAAGUUGUGUGGUGUGGUUGACAGCCUGGAGGGAAAGGAUGCCAUCCAGAGGAACCUUGACAGGCUUGAGAGGU
This is a long non-coding RNA of Oxyura jamaicensis (ruddy duck), 158 nucleotides long. RefSeq lists it as uncharacterized. The transcript has 3 exons. NCBI's taxonomy places the organism in Eukaryota, Metazoa, Chordata, Aves, Anseriformes, Anatidae. The record is from RefSeq and is a predicted model, not a curated record.